This 253-nucleotide ribosomal RNA is filed under the name uncultured bacterium. RNAcentral describes it as "partial 16S ribosomal RNA". It matches the Rfam family "Bacterial small subunit ribosomal RNA", at positions 524 to 776 of the family's 1533-position model. The record is from RNAcentral.
UACGAAGGGGGCUAGCGUUGUUCGGAAUCACUGGGCGUAAAGCGCACGUAGGCGGAUUUGUAAGUCAGGGGUGAAAUCCCGGGGCUCAACCCCGGAACUGCCUUUGAUACUGCGAAUCUCGAGUCCGAUAGAGGUGGGUGGAAUUCCUAGUGUAGAGGUGAAAUUCGUAGAUAUUAGGAAGAACACCGGUGGCGAAGGCGGCUCACUGGAUCGGUACUGACGAUGAGGUGCGAAAGCGUGGGGAGCAAACAGG